This 253-nucleotide ribosomal RNA is filed under the name uncultured bacterium. RNAcentral's name for it is "partial 16S ribosomal RNA". It matches the Rfam family "Bacterial small subunit ribosomal RNA", at positions 524 to 776 of the family's 1533-position model. The record is from RNAcentral.
UACAGAGGGGGCAAGCGUUGUUCGGAAUUACUGGGCGUAAAGCGCGCGUAGGCGGCUUUGCAAGUCGGGUGUGAAAUCCCCAGGCUCAACCUGGGAACUGCAUUCGAGACUGCAUUGCUAGAGUAUGGGAGAGGGAAGUGGAAUUUCCGGUGUAGCGGUGAAAUGCGUAGAUAUCAGGAGGAACACCGGUGGCGAAGGCGGAUCUCUGGACCAGUUCUGACACUGAUGAGCGAAAGCCAGGGGAGCAAACAGG